UACGUAGGGAGCAAGCGUUGUCCGGAAUCAUUGGGCGUAAAGCGCGCGUAGGUGGCCUCAUAAGUCCGCUGUGAAAGUCAAAGGCUCAACCUUUGAAAGCCGGUGGAUACUGUGAGGCUAGAGUACGGAAGAGGCGAGUGGAAUUCCUGGUGUAGCGGUGGAAUGCGCAGAUAUCAGGAGGAACACCGGUGGCGAAGGCGGUUCUCUGGGCAUGUCCUGACGCUGAGGAGCGAAAGUGUGGGGAGCGAACAGG
RNAcentral lists this ribosomal RNA (253 nucleotides) under uncultured bacterium. RNAcentral describes it as "partial 16S ribosomal RNA". It matches the Rfam family "Bacterial small subunit ribosomal RNA", at positions 524 to 776 of the family's 1533-position model. The record is from RNAcentral.